GGUGGCGACCGGCGCACGGGUGCGUAACGCGUAUGUAACCUACCUAUAACAGGGGCAUAACACUGAGAAAUUGGUACUAAUUCCCCAUAAUAUUCGGAGAGGCAUCUCUCCGGGUUGAAAACUCCGGUGGUUAUAGAUGGACAUGCGUUGUAUUAGCUAGUUGGUGAGGUAACGGCUCACCAAGGCAACGAUACAUAGGGGGACUGAGAGGUUAACCCCCCACACUGGUACUGAGACACGGACCAGACUCCUACGGGAGGCAGCAGUGAGGAAUAUUGGUCAAUGGACGCAAGUCUGAACCAGCCAUGCCGCGUGCAGGAAGACGGCUCUAUGAGUUGUAAACUGCUUUUGUACGAGGGUAAACUCACCUACGUGUAGGUGACUGAAAGUAUCGUACGAAUAAGGAUCGGCUAACUCCGUGCCAGCAGCCGCGGUAAUACGGAGGAUUCAAGCGUUAUCCGGAUUUAUUGGGUUUAAAGGGUGCGUAGGCGGUUUGAUAAGUUAGAGGUGAAAUCCCGGGGCUUAACUCCGGAACUGCCUCUAAUACUGUUAGACUAGAGAGUAGUUGCGGUAGGCGGAAUGUAUGGUGUAGCGGUGAAAUGCUUAGAGAUCAUACAGAACACCGAUUGCGAAGGCAGCUUACCAAACUAUAUCUGACGUUGAGGCACGAAAGCGUGGGGAGCAAACAGGAUUAGAUACCCUGGUAGUCCACGCAGUAAACGAUGAUAACUCGUUGUCGGCGAUACACAGUCGGUGACUAAGCGAAAGCGAUAAGUUAUCCACCUGGGGAGUACGUUCGCAAGAAUGAAACUC
Molecule: ribosomal RNA, 813 nt
Filed under: Alistipes onderdonkii
Lineage: Bacteria; Pseudomonadati; Bacteroidota; Bacteroidia; Bacteroidales; Rikenellaceae
Description: bacterial SSU rRNA
Rfam family: Bacterial small subunit ribosomal RNA
Source: RNAcentral